Molecule: ribosomal RNA, 663 nt
Filed under: Fusarium oxysporum
Lineage: Eukaryota; Fungi; Ascomycota; Sordariomycetes; Hypocreales; Nectriaceae
Description: SSU rRNA
Rfam family: Bacterial small subunit ribosomal RNA
Source: RNAcentral
GCCUAACGGCUGAACUGGCAACUUGGAGAAGUGGCAAGUCUUCCAGUAUGGGGAGCAAAACAGCUAUGGGUCAAGUCCGAUAUCUUUAGGAGAAGUCUUAUUGUGAGGGCGAGUUAUAUAACACCAUAGGACUGGCCGUCCCAUAUGAAAAGAUUAUAUUAGAAUUGAAUGAAGCUUUGUUUAUAUAUUGAUAAUGACAGUAUAUAUAUCGUGUCUUGACUAAUUGCGUGCCAGCAGUCGCGGUAAUACGUAAGAGACUAGUGUUAUUCAUCUUAAUUAGGUUUAAAGGGUACCCAGACGGUCAAUAUAGCUUAUAAAAUGUUAGUACUUGACUAGAGUUUUAUGUAAGAGGGCAGUACUUGAGGAGGAGAGAUGAAAUUUCGUGAUACCAAAGGGACUCUGUAAAGGCGAAGGCAGCCCUCUAUGUAAAAACUGACGUUGAAGGACGAAGGCACAGAGAACAAACAGGAUUAGAUACCCAAGUAGUCUUUGCAGUAAAUGAUGAAUGCCAUAGGUUAGAUUGGUCAAUUAUAGUCUAGGGUUAGUCUAGCAAACUAAUGCCCUGUGCUAUAAUUCAAAAUAUCUGGUCUAUAAAUGAAAGUGUAAGCAUUUCACCUCAAGAGUAAUGUGGCAACGCAGGAACUGAAAUCACUAGACCGUUUC